This 447-nucleotide ribosomal RNA is filed under the name uncultured soil bacterium. RNAcentral describes it as "bacterial SSU rRNA". It matches the Rfam family "Bacterial small subunit ribosomal RNA", at positions 26 to 517 of the family's 1533-position model. The record is from RNAcentral.
AGAGCGAACGCUGGCGGCAGGCCUAACACAUGCAAGUCGAACGGACCCUUCGGGGUUAGUGGCGGACGGGUGAGUAACACGUGGGAACGUGCCUUUAGGUUCGGAAUAGCUCCUGGAAACGGGUGGUAAUGCCGAAUGUGCCCUUCGGGGGAAAGAUUUAUCGCCUUUAGAGCAGCCCGCGUCUGAUUAGCUUGUUGGUGAGGUAAUGGCUCACCAAGGCUACGAUCAGUAGCUGGUCUGAGAGGAUGACCAGCCACAUUGGGACUGAGACACGGCCCAAACUCCUACGGGAGGCAGCAGUGGGGAAUCUUGCGCAAUGGGCGAAAGCCUGACGCAGCCAUGCCGCGUGUAUGAUGAAGGUCUUAGGAUUGUAAAAUACUUUCACCGGUUGAAGAUAAUGACUGUAGCCGGAGAAGAAGCCCCGGACUAACUUCGUGCCAGCAGCCG